CAGCAGCCGCGGUAAUACGUAGGGUGCGAGCGUUAAUCGGAAUUACUGGGCGUAAAGCGUGCGCAGGCGGUUAUAUAAGACAGAUGUGAAAUCCCCGGGCUCAACCUGGGACCUGCAUUUGUGACUGUAUGGCUAGAGUACGGUAGAGGGGGAUGGAAUUCCGCGUGUAGCAGUGAAAUGCGUAGAUAUGCGGAGGAACACCGAUGGCGAAGGCAAUCCCCUGGACCUGUACUGACGCUCAUGCACGAAAGCGUGGGGAGCAAACAGGAUUAGAUACCCGCGUAGUCCCUGUCUCUUAUAC
This 301-nucleotide ribosomal RNA is filed under the name uncultured bacterium. Its description in RNAcentral is "partial 16S ribosomal RNA". It matches the Rfam family "Bacterial small subunit ribosomal RNA", at positions 509 to 807 of the family's 1533-position model. The record is from RNAcentral.